GCCAACAUCGCGUAGUUGGUCAUCGCGUGGGGUUUAAGCCUCAGGACACUACACUUCGGGCAGUUCAUCAGAGCUGCGAUAGAAGUUUUAAUUCCCAUACCGUCAGGUAUCCUGAGUUCGAAUCUCAGUGUUGGCA
Meira miltonrushii is the source of this 136-nucleotide non-coding RNA. The record is from the annotation of a RefSeq genome assembly. Lineage: Eukaryota; Fungi; Basidiomycota; Exobasidiomycetes; Exobasidiales; Brachybasidiaceae.